This is a long non-coding RNA of Synchiropus splendidus (mandarinfish), 6391 nucleotides long. RefSeq lists it as uncharacterized. The record is from RefSeq and is a predicted model, not a curated record. The transcript has 3 exons. NCBI's taxonomy places the organism in Eukaryota, Metazoa, Chordata, Actinopteri, Syngnathiformes, Callionymidae.
CUUUGUCCAUCCUCCCGCUCCCCCCCACCAACCACGUCUACCUCCGUAUGCCUCUUUUUCCUCUCCAUCACUCUCUCGCAGAUGCCAUAUCACACCACACUCUCCUCCUCCCUUCUCUUCUCCGUCUGCUUCCUGCUCUCUCAUUCGCUCCGCCGCUUCAUUUGUUUCGGCCGAGCCACUAAAGCGGCUGCUGAACAGAGAGGAGGGUUUUUUUUUCCCCCCUCUUCUCUCUCACUCUCUCUGUCGAGCAUCUCUGCCGCCGCAGCAUCAGCACCACCACCGUCUCCUGCCGGGAUCUUGCCUCCUCCUUCUCCUCAGGGAGCUCUUCCUGGAACCGGGAGGGGGAGGAAGACCACCGCUACCUCUUGCGUGGACCCUUGGGAAGACAUCAGGAAGGAAAAAGAAUGGUGGAAGGGGAGGGAAUUUUAGAGGCAUCAGAAAGGAAAAGGAGAGGCAACACCCUGGGCUACAGCAGAGAGGAGGAGGAGAGAGGAGGCCCCUCCCCCCUCCCACAUCCAUGCAGAGAAGGAGCGGCGACGGGAGCGGGGACGGUCCCCGGCAGCAGGGAGGGGAAGCCGAGCAGGACGCUGGUCCAGACGAGCCAUUGAUGGAGCUUUGCCUCGCGCUGCAGCGAGCGGUCUUCAAUCAAUGCGACCCCCCCACUCUCUCUGUGUGUGUCUGUGUUUGUUUGCCACUGGAGCCUGAAGAGGGGCUGCUUCUGAUGGCCUUGCUGAAGCUGGUGAUGAUGCGUUGGCAGUGGCUCCUCCCCCGUGGUUUCUGGCUUAGACCCCCUCCUCCUCCUCCUCCCCUCCCAUGUUCACUGACUCUCUUCGGUGACGGGUAUUCUUGGGUGGAUAAUACGGAUCACGUUGUUAUUGCUUAAGAAUACGCGUAGUCGAGGAGAGUCCUUUCUUCGCCCCCCUCCUCUAACACCGGCUCCCCUGGCCCCCAAACACCCACCCACUCACCUCAACACACUCUGUCUCUUCCCCCCUGCCUAAAAAGGACUUUCAGAUUGGGUGAAUCCCACACUGGCUGGCAAUGUCUCUCUCUCUGCAUCCGUGUUUCUGUCUCCGUGGCGAUGGACAGAGUGUGUGUGCGUCUCUGUCUCACAUUGCUUCUGUGUGUAUCCGGCUCUUCUGUCGUCUUGUCGUGUUGGAGUUUGUGCAUGAACAGUCCGGUCCCAUGAUGCAAAGCGAGGUUGACAAAACCAAAGAAGUGGAUUUGCCGUUGGUUUGCCCGGGUGUGAUUGGAUGCUGCUUGAGUUGCUGUUGUCUCACUUUGUCGCUUGACUCCAUCCUUGUCAACCGAUAAGGAGCGUGUUUACUCGGGGCGUGACCUCUGACCUGUCGCUUGCUGUGUUCAGGACGGGAGAGCUCCCAGUAGCCCUGUAAACAUACCACUCAUGGCAAGAUUACAAAAGUAAUGGCGCUGCAAGAGCUGCCCUUUGACCCCUGCUGGAUGACUGACAUAUAAAGUCACGUGACAUGAUGUGACAUGAUGUAUCAUGUUUCACUUGAUUCCAAUUGACCAGAUGAACUUAUUCUUAAUACAUAAUCAUGUAAUGCUUUUGUAUUUUAAAAAAAAUAGCCAUUAAAUGACUUUAUUUAAAAAUGUAAUUUGGAUGUAACACUGUACUAGAUAUUGUCAAAGAAUACAACGUGGUUUUGUAUUUCUAAGUGUGUACAAAGAAAUAGCAAAUAAAAACUGGCUAUUGUUACUAUAUUUAAUACUUUCAAUCGUAUGUGUAUUUUAUCCAUAAAAAAACUCAAUUCUUUUCAAAGAUUUUAAAACACCAAUAUUGUCUUGAGUCACAAUAUUUGAGGAAAUAUGACUACCAUGUAAAUAAUAAUAAUAAUAAUAAUAAUAACAACAACAAUAAUAAUAAUAAUAAUAAUAAUAAUAAUAAUAAUAAUAAUAAUAAUAAUAAUAAGAAUAAGAAUAAUAAUAAUACACGGUAGUAUUGUAUCCAAUGUUUGCUAACCAUAUAUGUUUGCUAACCAUAUUAAGGAAAAUAAUAACACUUCUAUGUUUAUGGUUUUGUUAUUGUUAUUUGAAGUGAAAUAAACCUGGAAAAAAACACGUUUCUCUUUAACGUCUUGAGUGAUAUUUCUUGUCUAAUUUAGGGAAUUUAUUUUCUAUUCAUUAUAAUUGUUAAUCAUAAUUUAUAAUUUUUCAUCAUUUACUGUUUCAUUGUUUCUAUUGGCUGAGUAGUUCCCUCCCUGUGCACUGAAGCCUAAGAGUAUAAAGACGUUUGUUUUCAGCAUCUGAAACAGAGAAGAUUGUGUGACUGGUGAAAUAAAAAGGUGUAAAAUUCAUGCAAUGAAAAAUUAAUUAAAAGAGAAAAGAGAAAAGAAUUAGCAUGCAACAAACUUCCAAGAAAAUUGCUCCAUAAAAUACAUUUUUAUAAUUAAAAUUGAGUAAAAUAACAACAUGGAAAAAUAACAAUAAUAACAUAUUGGAAUAAAAAGGUAUUUUCAACAAUCAACUUGUGAAAAUCGAGAGAUUUCUUCUGUUUUGGGCCUGAUCUCCGUCGAAGGCCUUGCCUCCUUGACGAUCGUUGAAAAUAUAGUUUUAUCCCCAACACCAUCAAUAAAUGAAUCCUCAUAUCUGCAUAAGCAACCACCUUCACAAGGACUCGUCACAUUGUGUGAAGUCUCCCGGCCUCCUCUCACCCUCUCCGUGGCCCCUUUUAUAUGCUAAUGCCGCUCCAAUGACAGUUAUCAUAGAGGAGCUUACGCACGCGUGCGGCUGAGAAAACAAAAUGUCCACCAUGAAUGGUCGACAGCUCAAUUUAUGCAUUGAGCAGAGGCGUCUAGAUAAACAAUUACCUCGGCUCAUACGCUUCAUAAGCAGCUUUUUCGGUGGCGCAUCCCAGCGACGCACCAUGAAUAUAGAUGCCCCGUCCAUGUCUGACAGCACAUUCGGAACUUAACAGCCAUGUAAAAUCCAUUUUAACAGCUAAUAGGAUCAACUUGACUCAUACAGUGAUAUCCUCCAGCACGUCAGCCCGCACCCCCCGCUCCACAAUCAGACGCUUCCUCGCCCCUCCACGCUCGGGUAAAUGCACCUCGCGAGAUGGAAGAGGAAAUGAUAGACCCACUCUCCCAAAUGGUUUUAUUGUCCUGCAAUAUUCCGCUUCAGGAUUACUCACGUCUGUCUGCUCUCAGACACGAUCGGCGCUCUGAUCGGGUAUUUAUAUUCAAGGAACGCCAUCAUUUCAGGUUCGGGCCCAAACGUACAAAGCCAACCAAACAUUUCAGAGGACGUGUUGCGCUGCUUUAGAGGUAGAACUUCCCAACAGAGUCUAGGCAAACCCAGACUGAGGCCUCCGGAAGUUCCUCCAUUAUUCAAAGCUGGAUGAUGAAAAGUGCUCGAGUGACUUUGUUUGAGCUUCUCUAACAUCUAAAUAAGGGAUCAAAACCUGUUUUUAUUCAGACUUUGUUAAAUUUAACAUUUUAUUUUUGUUGACUCAUGCUUCAAAAUAAGCCUUUUAUAAAUGACUUUGUUACCUAUUUCCAAAGCAGAAUACAAGCUAGUAACACUACAUAAACUAUUGUUGUCGUUGUAAUGAUAUACUAUAAUAGUAACACCCAAUAAAAGAGAAUAGAAAACGAUUUUUAGAAUUACAAAAUCGCUGCUAUUCAGUGGUGAAACUUUAUUGCAUUAAUAUACUACGGCACAAAAUGGCAACAAUGAUUGGAGUAAAGAACCUACUGAGCUAAUUUGAAUGUAGCUCACUAACGAUGAAUCAGCAGUGUCUCAUCUUAAAAUUCAGGGACUGUUUUUAAGAUUUUAAUACAUGUAGAAUUUUAAGCACAUCAUUGAGCGUCCUUCACUGAAUUUAUUGAUAGUUUUCUUGUUUUGUUUUGCUCUUUAUUGAUGCUUAAAAGCAGCUCCACUGGCUAAGCUAUGUAGCUAGCAUGUUAGUUGAAGUCCACAGAUCUCACUUUGUUAGCAUUUGUUAGCUAAUGUUUUUAGCGCUGAGAAAAAAAAUAACAAAGCAGUGAGGUGAGCUAAGCUAACCCACAGGUAGCUUUAAGGUUGGCAGUGAAUUCUGAGACUGACAAGCUACUGUAGGUCUAAAAAAUGGCUGCAGUUGGUGAAGACAUCACAGACACACUGGUUACGUGUUUCAUUUCGCGCAGAUUAUUCCAUGCUGAGAAUGGGCCACUCGCUGUCUCAUGUCGUCUACUGCAAUCUGCAGCAGCAUUUGCGUCCUCCAUCUUUGUUGUGUCGCAGGGUCCACCAGCAGCGCUCGUAGCUUUGCAUCACGAGUUUGUGUGUUUCCUGUGGCAGCCUGCGCCUCAUGAGUGUAGCUGCUGUUGAUCCUGAAUUCGUGCCUGUGAAUGGAAACUUGUUAAUGUUGUACGAAGCCAUCAGCGAUGAUUGCGCCAUGUGUCUGCUCGAGUGUCGUGGAGAGCCGGGCCGCUGCGCGCCAUCCUCCCCGUUGAUCCGGCCAAUAAGGAGUGUUGCUGGCUAAGUGUUGUCAUAGCUGCUAACGGCGCCGGGCUGCCUGCUAAUGCGCCUGUCAUUGUUCCAGCCGCGCUUCCGAGGACUGCUGGGAACCUGGGACUGAUGUUUACUGCUCCGCUCUAAUGUGAUGCCGCGCGCCAUGAUCACGAGCCGGGUUUUUUAAAGCUAACCUGGGAUGAAUCACUUUCAUAACAGCAGCGCGUGUCGCUUCCCGCGUAAAUGUGCAUAAUGACUGUCAUUUUGUCGUGGCUGUGAUUUCGAAUAAAGUCCUCUCUUGAAACUUACAUGUGAGAUGAACAUUUUAUUAAUGUCAUGUCUGUCUCGGGCCUCAGUCUGAAGCCUUGCAGGAGCUGCAUUUCAACUGUUUAGCUUUAGCUAUUUUCACCGUAUAGAGGGGAUUUUUAAAUAUGCUUUUCAUCACUGGUGGAUUUAUUAUUAUUAUUAUUAUUAUUAUUAUUAUUAUUAUUGUCAAUGCGUAUGAUUUAUGAUUUAAAUUGGUCAUUGAUUUUAAAUGUACUUUUUAAAUUUAAGUUAUGAGACAUGCUUUAUUCUCUCCAUUUUAUUGAAUCUUUCUUUUCCUUUAUUUGUUUUUUGCCAAUUACAUUUCCUUUCACUCCAUCCUUUUCAAGACUGUCAACAUUCUUUGGCUGUUAAAACGUCCAAAGUGGUCAGUUCUUAAUCGUCAUACUGACUGAAUGAAGGCUUAUUUUAGUCUCAGCUGUUCAUGGUGCUUCCUUUUCUGACUUUUUAAAGGUAUAUUGUCGACAUUGUAUCAAGUUAUUCCUGUAACUUUCCGCACCUGGUGAGACGUUCAGGGCCUGUUAUGUUGCCUGUUCUGAGCUUCUAUGACGGUUGUUCCACUGCUGCCUCCAUGUAAAUGUCAAUAUCCCACAUGGGGCAGCAGUCAACAAUAACACGACACUUCACCAAAAUAUCAGCUUCAUAGAGGUGGUGACCAAAGGUUCAUCUGUGUCUCAUGUCAGAGGAGGAUCUGAGGAGGGGCGGAGUCAGUGGGGCAGAUGAUUCCAACUCCUCCAGUUCAGGUCUGUCCUGCGUCAUUAGAAAAGGUCCGCUGUAAUGAUGCCAUUUUCCGUCAUUAACCUGGACUCAGGGAGUCAGAAUGCUGUGGCCUGGCCAUUUGGAGAGCUGUUGUAAACAAUGCUGGAUGAAUGGCCGACCAUUCUGCUGCUAAUAAUUGCUGCCUUGACGUAUGGAAACGUGACCAUGGUCUGAUCAGGGAACGUCCCUUCCGAAAAUGCAACACGAGUUUGAUAUACGGCUAGUACAAAAGACAAACUAGAGUAGCGCCUGACUCAUUGUUGGAAACCUCUUUUGACAAAACAAAACCAAAAAAAAGUAAAUGACAUAAACUUCAGAAAAGCAACAUUUUGGUGGAGUAAAGAGUCAAUUCUCCCGCUGUGUUGCUGCUGCUGAACUCAGUUAUGCUACACUGGAUGACUUCCUCGAUGAGCAGCGUCAAACUCCAAAAACAUGACUCUAGAAAUCUUUCUUCAUUUAAGUCAUUACAAUUUAAUAAGUAAGACCAUUUGACAUGUUUUCUUCAGUUGCUCUUUGCUGAUUUAAAGUUUGUUAUGGAGUCAUUUAUUUAAAGAUGCAUUCUAGUCAGAAACAACAGUGUUGCAGCGCUGAAUUAUUAUUAUUAUAUUUUAUUGAUGAUUAUUACAACAAAAAAAUAUUAUUAUUAUUACUAUUAUUAUUAGGGCUCUUUUUAAAAUUCUAUGCAAAUUAAUGGAUUUUUUUAGAUUAAUAUUCAUUCAUUAAUUCAACUCAAAUAUAUGUAUUUUUUUUUAAUUGUAAUACAACAAUAAUACUAAUUCUACUACUACGACAAUAACAACUACUACUACUACUACUACUAAUAAUAAUAAUAAUAAUUUCAUGAAUUGUCAAAAUU